This 793-nucleotide ribosomal RNA is filed under the name uncultured archaeon. RNAcentral describes it as "bacterial SSU rRNA". It matches the Rfam family "Archaeal small subunit ribosomal RNA", at positions 85 to 879 of the family's 1478-position model. The record is from RNAcentral.
ACGGCUCAGUAACACGUAGUCAACCUAACCUAUGGACGGGAAUAACCUCGGGAAACUGAGAAUAAUGCCCGAUAGAACACUAUACCUGGAAUGGUUUGUGUUCCAAAUGAUUUAUCGCCAUAGGAUGGGACUGCGGCCUAUCAGUUUGUUGGUGAGGUAAUGGCCCACCAAGACUAUUACAGGUACGGGCUCUGAGGGGAGUAGCCCGGAGAUGGGUACUGAGACACGGACCCAGGCCCUAUGGGGCGCAGCAGGCGAGAAAACUUUGCAAUGUGCGAAAGCACGACAAGGUUGAUCCGAGUGAUUUGUGCUAAACGAAUCUUUUGUUAGUCCUAGAAACACUAACGAAUAAGGGGUGGGCAAGUUCUGGUGUCAGCCGCCGCGGUAAAACCAGCACCUCAAGUGGUCAGGAUGAUUAUUGGGCCUAAAGCAUCCGUAGCCGGCUCUGUAAGUUUUCGGUUAAAUCUGUACGCUUAACGUACAGGCUGCCGGGAAUACUGCAAAGCUAGGGAGUGGGAGAGGUAGACGGUACUCGGUAGGAAGUGGUAAAAUGCUUUGAUCUAUCGAUGACCACCUGUGGCGAAGGCGGUCUACCAGAACACGUCCGACGGUGAGGGAUGAAAGCUGGGGGAGCAAACCGGAUUAGAUACCCGGGUAGUCCCAGCUGUAAACUAUGCAAACUCAGUGAUGCAUUGGCUUGUGGCCAAUGCAGUGCUGCAGGGAAGCCGUUAAGUUUGCCGCCUGGGAAGUACGUACGCAAGUAUGAAACUUAAAGGAAUUGGCGGGGGAGCAC